Molecule: ribosomal RNA, 468 nt
Filed under: uncultured bacterium
Lineage: Bacteria
Description: bacterial SSU rRNA
Rfam family: Bacterial small subunit ribosomal RNA
Source: RNAcentral
CGCCAGACUCCUACGGGAGGCAGCAGUGAGGAAUAUUGGUCAAUGGGCGGAAGCCUGAACCAGCCAAGUCGCGUGAGGGAAGAAGGCCCUGCGGGUCGCAGACCUCUUUGGACGGGGAGCAAGGCCGCCGACGUGCCGGCGGAAGGAGAGUACCCGUAGAACAAGCAUCGGCUAACUCCGUGCCAGCAGCCGCGGUAAUACGUAGGGGGCAAGCGUUAUCCGGAUUUACUGGGUGUAAAGGGAGCGUAGACGGCAGUGCAAGGCUGGAGGGAAAGGCGGGGGCUCAACCCCCGGACUGCUCUGGAAACUGUACGGCUGGAGUGCAGGAGAGGUAAGGGGAAUUCCUAGUGUAGCGGUGAAAUGCGUAGAUAUUAGGAGGAACACCAGUGGCGAAGGCGGCUUACUGGACUGUAACUGACGUUGAGGCUCGAAAGCGUGGGGAGCAAACAGGAUUAGAUACCCGCGUAC